GAUGAACGCUGGCGGCGUGCCUAAUACAUGCAAGUCGAGCGAACAGACGAGGAGCUUGCUCCUCUGACGUUAGCGGCGGACGGGUGAGUAACACGUGGAUAACCUACCUAUAAGACUGGGAUAACUUCGGGAAACCGGAGCUAAUACCGGAUAAUAUAUUGAACCGCAUGGUUCAAUAGUGAAAGACGGUUUUGCUGUCACUUAUAGAUGGAUCCGCGCCGCAUUAGCUAGUUGGUAAGGUAACGGCUUACCAAGGCAACGAUGCGUAGCCGACCUGAGAGGGGGAUCGGCCACACUGGAACUGAGACACGGUCCAGACUCCUACGGGAGGCAGCAGUAGGGAAUCUUCCGCAAUGGGCGAAAGCCUGACGGAGCAACGCCGCGUGAGUGAUGAAGGUCUUCGGAUCGUAAAACUCUGUUAUUAGGGAAGAACAAAUGUGUAAGUAACUAUGCACGUCUUGACGGUACCGAAUCAGAAAGCCACGGCUAACUACGU
RNAcentral lists this ribosomal RNA (496 nucleotides) under uncultured bacterium. RNAcentral's name for it is "partial 16S ribosomal RNA". It matches the Rfam family "Bacterial small subunit ribosomal RNA", at positions 28 to 506 of the family's 1533-position model. The record is from RNAcentral.